GAUGAACGCUGGCGGCGUGCCUAAUACAUGCAAGUCGAGCGAACAGACGAGGAGCUUGCUCCUCUGACGUUAGCGGCGGACGGGUGAGUAGCACGUGGAUAACCUACCUAUAAGACUGGGAUAACUUCGGGAAACCGGAGCUAAUACCGGAUAAUAUAUUGAACCGCAUGGUUCAAUAGUGAAAGACGGUUUUGCUGUCACUUAUAGAUGGAUCCGCGCCGCAUUAGCUAGUUGGUAAGGUAACGGCUUACCAAGGCAACGAUGCGUAGCCGACCUGAGAGGGUGAUCGGCCACACUGGAACUGAGACACGGUCCAGACUCCUACAGGAGGCAGCAGUAGGGAAUCUUCCGCAAUGGGCGAAAGCUUGACGGAGCAACGCCGCGUGAGUGAUGAAGGUCUUCGGAUCGUAAAACUCUGUUAUUAGGGAAGAACAAAUGUGUAAGUAACUAUGCACGUCUUGACGGUACCUAAUCAGAAAGCCACGGCUAACUACGUG
Molecule: ribosomal RNA, 497 nt
Filed under: uncultured bacterium
Lineage: Bacteria
Description: partial 16S ribosomal RNA
Rfam family: Bacterial small subunit ribosomal RNA
Source: RNAcentral